Oncorhynchus gorbuscha (pink salmon) is the source of this 2387-nucleotide long non-coding RNA. RefSeq lists it as uncharacterized. The transcript is spliced from 3 exons. The record is from RefSeq and is a predicted model, not a curated record. NCBI's taxonomy places the organism in Eukaryota, Metazoa, Chordata, Actinopteri, Salmoniformes, Salmonidae.
CCCUCCCUGCCUCCCUCCCUCCCACCUCACAUUCCUACCAGUGCCAAAGAAUGAAAGACAGAGAGAGGGGGGGGGGGGGGUAUACAAGAAACAAAAACAGAGAAGACGUAUGGGAAUGUGGUACUCUAAACAACACCAUAUCUUGACUUGAUUGUGACGCCUCUUCUUCCUUAGUCCUGACCAAUCGCUGUGGCUUGUCGUUGUGUGUGUGUGUGUGUCUAAUGCCCACUUUGAAGACAGGACCGUAUCCAUGGCAGGUAGCCGUGACAACUGUGGUCAUGACGACGGCUCGCAUAGUAGCAAAGAGGCGUGACAACAGCCAAAUGCCCAUGGGAUUGUGAUGUAAAAAAAAAAAAAAAAAAAAAAAAAACGGAGAAUAUAGACAAUGUGCACAAGGGGGAAGUACUAAUAUGAGCACACACAUUCCUUCUCCGGGUGCCAUCCACACACAUUGCACCAGUCCAAGGCAUCUUGGUCCCUUAGCUUUCCCACUCAGUAAUUUAUUUUGUUUUGUGACCACCACAUUCACACACCACCUUUUUCCACCAACCCACUCUGCUAUUGUACUAACUACGGAUCUCAGUCCCUCCCACUCAAAACUAUCCUACCCCACAAAUACACUCCUUAUAGAGGCUUUCACAUCGACUCCGUCCAGACCCUGGAUCCACAUCUCACACUCAAAUCUGACUGUGUCAUUCCACUCCAUGAGUCUCUUAAUCUGGUAGUCAUUCCACUCCAUGAGUCUCUUAAUCUGGUAGUCAUUCCACUCCAUGAGUCUCUUAAUCUGGUAGUCAUUCCACUCCAUGAGUCUCUUAAUCUGGUAGUCAUUCCACUCCAUGAGUCUCUAAUUCUGGUAGUCAUUCCACUCCAUGAGUCUCUUAAUCUGGUAGUGUCAUUCCACUCCAUGAGUCUCUUAAUCUGGUAGUGUCAUUCCACUCCAUGAGUCUCUUAAUCUGGUAGUGUCAUUCCACUCCAUGAGUCUCUUAAUCUGGUAGUCAUUCCACUCCAUGAGUCUCUUAAUCUGGUAGUGCCAUUGGUUUUGAACCCACCAGAGAUCCACUCUUCCCCUCAAAACACUAUAGUGUUCUGAUCCACUCUUCCCAUCAAAACACUAUAGUGUUCUGAACCCACCAGAGAUCCACUCUUCCCCCUCAAACACUAUAGUGUUCUGAACCCACCAGAGAUCCACUCUUCCCCUCACUAGUGUUUUGUUUAGUGACCCACAGAUACUGCGUCCCAAAUGAAACCCUAUCAUUUAAGUAGUGCACUACAUCAGGGCCCUGGUUAAAUGUAGUGCUCUAGAAAGGGAAUAGGGUGCUAUAGGCCCUAGUUAAAAGAAGUGCACUAGAUGGGGAAUAGGGUGCUAUAGGCCCUGGUUAAAAUUAGUGCACUACAUAGGGAAUAGGGUGCCAUUUGGGCCACACAGACCCACUCCAUGCUCAUUUAAAUGACCACAGACAGAGCGGUCUGUUGACCACAGCACUUUAAUCACCACCAGCCAGGCCAAACUAAGUGAUCACAGAUCUGCUCAAGGCCAAGCUAAGCGAUCUCAGAUCUGUGCCAGGCCAAGCUAAGCGAUCACAGAUCUGCGCCAGGCCAAGCUAAGCGAUCACAGAUCUGCGCCAGGCCAAGCUAAGCGAUCACAGAUCUGUGCCAGGCCAGACUAAGCGAUCACAGAUCCGUCCUGAUUCAUACUAUACAAAACAGCUCCCCUCAUCCACAAAUCUGCAAUCCCAAUAAUCUGUCCUUUCUCCUGAAGUGUGCACUUGUGCACUCCUUCACAAAUGUAAAAGCAUUGGAUAGGUGGAGGUAUUGACUAGACUAGAGGAUAGGUGGAGGCAUGGACUAGAGGAUAGGUGGAGGCAUGGACUAGAGGAUAGGUGGAGGCAUGGACUAGAGGAUAGGUGGAGGCAUGGACUAGAGGAUAGGUGGAGGCAUGGACUACUAGAGGAUAGGUGGAGGCAUGGACUAGACUAGAGGAUAGGUGGAGGUAUGGACUAGACUAGAGGAUAGGUGGAGGUAUGGACUAGACUAGAGGAUAGGUGGAGGUAUGGACUAGACUAGAGGAUAGGUGGAGGUAUGGACUAGACUAGAGCGAGUUCCACCAUGAAUUUGCUUUUAUACCCAAGAAAGAAAGUGAACAAGUGCACACUGAUAAAAAGGACAGAUUGUGUUGGGCCCCGUGCUGAACUCCCUCCUUAGGUUUCUAUUGGGAAGUAGGGAAGGGAAGGGAUAGCGGGAGGAGAGUUGUAUCACCGUAGAGCUGGGGGUCAAAGGUCAUUGCACAAUAUUAUAGACUUGCUGUUCUGUAAAAGCCUAAUAUGCAAUGCAUUGUUUAUUAUUAUUAUUAUUGUUAUUAUUACCAUAAUAAAAUAUGAUAAAAUAUA